RNAcentral lists this ribosomal RNA (497 nucleotides) under uncultured bacterium. RNAcentral's name for it is "partial 16S ribosomal RNA". It matches the Rfam family "Bacterial small subunit ribosomal RNA", at positions 28 to 507 of the family's 1533-position model. The record is from RNAcentral.
GAUGAACGCUGGCGGCGUGCCUAAUACAUGCAAGUCGAGCGAACAGACGAGGAGCUUGCGCCGCUGACGUUAGCGGCGGACGGGUGAGUAACACGUGGAUAACCUACCUAUAAGACGGGGAUAACUUCGGGAAACCGGAGCUAAUACCGGAGAAGAUAUUGAACCGCAUGGUUGAAUAGUGAAAGACGGUGUUGGUGUCAGGUAUAGAUGGAUCCGCGCCGCAUUAGCUAGUUGGUAAGGUAACGGCUUACCAAGGCAACGAUGCGUAGCCGACCGGAGAGGUGGAUCGGCCACCUUGGAACUGAGACACGGUCCAGACUCCUACGGGAGGCAGCAGUAGGGAACCUUCCGCAAUGGGCGAAAGCCUGACGGAGCAACGCCGCGUGAGUGAUGAAGGUCUUCGGAUCGUAAAACUCUGUUAUGAGGGAAGAACAAAUGUGUAAGUAACUAUGCACGUCUUGACGGUACCUAAUCAGAAAGCCACGGCUAACUACGUG